RNAcentral lists this long non-coding RNA (3191 nucleotides) under Homo sapiens (human). RNAcentral describes it as "HSALNT0321542". Lineage: Eukaryota; Metazoa; Chordata; Mammalia; Primates; Hominidae. The record is from RNAcentral.
AGCAACGCAGAAGACGGGUGAUUUCUGCAUUUCCAUCUGAGUGAGUGCCUUUUUACCAAUAGUACCAGUAGAUAAGAAGAUAAGAUACAGAUAAUAAAGCACAGAGCAUUGCACAGAUCUACACCAAUGGAUUGGAAUGGAAUGUAGGAUUCUCUUCUUGCUGUGGACACCAUCAAAAUGUGAGAUCACUUCUCUGCUCAAUAGGACAAUCAUACUGAUUCCUUAGGAAGACAUAUAGGAAUCAGUAGAGGGAGAUCCUACCCUGGAAUCGUUUGAUGUCCUUGGGUUAUCUUCCUCUACAAAAAGGGCUAGUUGAAAUAAUGACAUGUGGGAGAUCAGCACUCCAAGUCAAAAUUGCAAAACAGAAGAAAAUUCCAGAAUUAUAUCACUGUUAAGAUAGCAACAAAUAAAUAAUUUGCACCCUACAACCCAUGUGUGAAUUUAAUUCUGGAAAACCCAAUCUGAGACAGGGACAUCCAUCACCAUGUGAAAAAGCCUGGGAUAGUCUGCUGGAAGAAAAUGUAACUUGCAGAGAAUAGAACAGAUAAACCUUGCAGUGUACCCAGUUGGAUUUCAGAACAUUGAAGAGCAGCAGCUUUUAUGGGAAUAAGAGUGUCCCUUACAGGUAAUCUCCUCGACAUUUAUAUUGGGUGAGUCACAGUCAGAAAAUAUCUUAGUUUGUAACUUUGAGGAUGAAGAGUAGGUGUAUUCAAGGAGCUACCUUCUUGAACACAAUUGAAGGUCAUGAAAUUCUGAACUUCAAGGUUGAUACCAUGAUUUCAUGAGACUUUUGAAAGUCCUAGGAUGGCAAUGAGAAUAUCUUUUAUGUGGAAAAAUUGUGGGUAAUUUGUGGCCAGAGGUUGGACUGUGGUAGAUUCGAAAAGUGGUUGCAAAAGUUUUCCAUUCUUGUUUCAUGUCCUUCAGUCAUGACUUCUCCUAGUGACUUUAAGAUUAUCGAUGUGAUUUGCUUUGCCUAUGAGGCAAUAAGCAAAUGUGACACAAGCAGAGGCUUAAAAAUGCGUAUGCUUUAGGAGAGGUUAGCUGUUGCUCUUGGGAAACACAGAACCAUAUAAAGCUGCUAACCUUCUGGCAGAUGAGAAUCAUCACGGAGCAGAGAUGAGGCUAAACAGCUGAGGCUUCUCUAAAAAACAAAACAAACAAACAAACAAACAAAAGCAGUGCACUUCUCAGGUGAUUGGCAUCGGAUAGCAGAAGCAUCGGUGAGUCAGCUGAGGUACAUAGAAGAAAUGCCUACCUGAGCCAACCCAAAUUGCCAACCCACAAAAAUCUGAAACCAAAUAAAUUGUUUAAAACUACUAGGUUUGAGAGUAUUUUGUUACAAAGCAGGUUAACCAAGGCAAUUAAAUGUAAAAGGUAUACUAAAUGAAUAAUUUUAUAAACAUUAAGCCAUAAUGACAUCAAAUUGAUUUUGAAGUUCAUUAAUGCAUACAGUCCUCAAACUGCUUUAUUCAUUGUAUACUGUAAUGUUUCACAUUUAAUUUCUGUAUCUAUUCCACUAAAGUUUAGUUUUUACUUGAGAAGACAAAAAUAUUAUUAUAGGAAAUUUUAUAUCAUACUCAUAAUUUGAUUUGUGAAAAUAAAUAAAAUUCAAAUAAUGUUGAUUUCUGUUAAUGAUGCUGAUUGCUUAUUAGAUCCUACACAUAUAAGUGAAUCAUUUGCCCAUAAAUAUUAUAGAUUAUUAUCAUAACAAGUAUUGAAUAACCUAUACUUCUCAUUUUGAAGAAGUGUAUUCUAUCUUUAAUCAGUUGUGCCUAAAUUUAAAUGUGUAUACAUUUAAGAAUUUUAUCAAAAAAUGUCUUUAAAAAAUCAAAAACAUCAUCAAACUGCCAAAAAUAGAAAAGCUGGGGUAGAGAAGUGAAACUAUUGCUCAGUGAUACAGUCCCUUUUUGUGCCAGCAACAGCUGGGCAAUCAACUUUCAUUUAUAACUAUCUACCGUAAGCAGCUUGCCCGUGGCCAAGUCAAUCAUUAUAGAAUCUAAUGGUACAUCAAUUUUCUUCCAAGAUUUAAUUUGGCACACAGGGUUUUGAAAAAGAAGACUAUCAUAAAAUAUUGCUACAACUCCAGAAUCUAAUAUCUUACUUGUGUUUUGACCCCAUUAGAUAAAAUAAAUUGAAAUCCUUUCAUUAAUGUGUUAACAGAGUCAUUUUAAAAUUGAAUUUUCAUAGUGAUCUCCUUGAAAUUGCUUAUAAAGAACUAAGUUAUGUUGCUAAGGUUCUUAUGCAAAUUUUAAACAGAUAAUAUACCUUUUUGUCUCACAACCAUAACACAUCAAUGCAAGGUUCUGUGUUAACCAAUUUCUUACCAACAAAAUAAUUUUUAAUUUGAUUGUUCUUGGUUUGAAGAUUUGCUACUUCUCUUGUUUAAUUUGUGCAGAAUAAAUUUUAUUAGAGUCUUUUACAGAUAUCUUAUGACAGUAGGGAGUACAUGUGAUCAUAUUUUAUAAAUAUUUUCAAGUUGGUAUCAUGCCUAAAUAUCCUAAGUAGUGAUUUGUGAAUAAUGGCAAAUUAAAAUGAAUUAAUGAGAAGUUUGUUAAAAAUGCAGAUGCUCAAAAGAUUAUAUUGCUAGCAGUGUACGGCUAAGUAGAAGUUAAGUGUUCCAGGAUUUGUGAACCAUCAUUUUAAGGACUGAACUGAUGAUGAAAUCACUUAAGUGAAUAUAUUAGCUACUAUACAAAAGAAAAAAUAAAAAAAGUACUUUUUAGAUAACAGAUAACAGCAAAAUGAAGCAUAUUGCAAUAAUACUUUAUCUAUAAUUCUGGAAACAUAAUUUUUAGUUCUUAGGAAUCAUAGGAAUUAGGAUAUAAUAAACAUAAAAAUGAGCUCAAAGAUACAAGUCCAAAAUACAAAUUUUUGUUCUUUUCCUCCUUCCCUAUAUGAAUCAGAAUUUGAGGAGGUGUCAUAGAAAUCUGGAUUUUUAGCAAGCCCAGAAGUUAAUUGUAUAAAUGGUUCUCAAAGCAGUACCAUUUUGCUGAUGUACUUACCAUUGCUUACUAAUCCCCACUCUUUGACAGGCAUUGCAUUCAAGUGCCUUUCAAUUUUGUUUAUUUAACUGCUUAAAACUAUUAUGUUGUAGAUAUUCUUGCGCCUAUGUUACAAGGGUAAGAAAAUGAUUAAAUAAUCAUCUAAAGUCAAAAAAAUAAUAAAAAUAAAGCCAGGAAGCAACUCAGAUC